This 64-nucleotide transfer RNA is filed under the name Microcosmus sulcatus. RNAcentral describes it as "transfer RNA-His". Lineage: Eukaryota; Metazoa; Chordata; Ascidiacea; Stolidobranchia; Pyuridae. The record is from RNAcentral.
UAUAAAAUAGUUUAAAGUAAAAUGGUAGUAUGUGGAGCUGAGGAUAUUGUGGAAAUUUUUAUAA